GAUGAACGCUAGCGGCAGGCCUAACACAUGCAAGUCGAGGGGUAACAGGUGUAGCAAUACAUGCUGACGACCGGCGCACGGGUGAGUAACGCGUAUGCAACCUGCCUUCAGCUGGGAGAUAACCCGGAGAAAUCCGGACUAAUAUCCCAUAACAUUAUCGGGUCGCAUGGUCUGGUAAUUAAAGCUCCGGCGGCUGAAGAUGGGCAUGCGUGGCAUUAGCUUGUUGGUGAGGUAACGGCUCACCAAGGCAACGAUACCUAGGGGGUCUGAGAGGAUGAUCCCCCAACUGGUACUGAGACACGGACCAGACUCCUACGGGAGGCAGCAGUGAGGAAUAUUGGGCAAGUGGACGCAAGUCUGACCCAGCCAUGCCGCGUGCAGGAUGAAGGCCCUAGUGGUUGUAAACUGCUUUUGACGGAAGAAACCUCGCACGUGUGCGGGGCUGACGGUCCGUAUGAAUAAGCAUCGGCUAACUCCGU
This 479-nucleotide ribosomal RNA is filed under the name uncultured bacterium. Its description in RNAcentral is "bacterial SSU rRNA". It matches the Rfam family "Bacterial small subunit ribosomal RNA", at positions 28 to 506 of the family's 1533-position model. The record is from RNAcentral.